This 477-nucleotide ribosomal RNA is filed under the name uncultured organism. RNAcentral describes it as "partial 16S ribosomal RNA". It matches the Rfam family "Bacterial small subunit ribosomal RNA", at positions 332 to 800 of the family's 1533-position model. The record is from RNAcentral.
UACACUCCUGCGGGAGGCAGCAGUGGGGAAUAUUGCACAAUGGGCGCAAGCCUGAUGCAGCCAUGCCGCGUGUAUGAAGAAGGCCUUCGGGUUGUAAAGUACUUUCAGCGGGGAGGAAGGCAAUACGGUUAAUAACCGUGUUGAUUGACGUUACCCGCAGAAGAAGCACCGGCUAACUCCGUGCCAGCAGCCGCGGUAAUACGGAGGGUGCAAGCGUUAAUCGGAAUUACUGGGCGUAAAGCGCACGCAGGCGGUCUGUCAAGUCGGAUGUGAAAUCCCCGGGCUCAACCUGGGAACUGCAUUCGAAACUGGCAGUCUUGAGUCUUGUAGAGGGGGGUAGAAUUCCAGGUGUAGCGGUGAAAUGCGUAGAGAUCUGGAGGAAUACCGGUGGCGAAGGCGGCCCCCUGGACAAAGACUGACGCUCAGGUGCGAAAGCGUGGGGAGCAAACAGGAUUAGAAACCCUGGUAGUCCCAUGA